GCAUGGAUGAAUUCUGUGUUGGCUUUGACAGUGGCCAAUGGAGUCAGACACCAUGCAAAAUGAAAGUUCCUGCUGUGGACACUCCUAGCGGCAUGCUGCAUAUUUGGUAGCCUGCCCAAGUCUGGAAAGGAUACAGGU
Molecule: small nucleolar RNA, 138 nt
Organism: Podarcis muralis (Common wall lizard)
Lineage: Eukaryota; Metazoa; Chordata; Lepidosauria; Squamata; Lacertidae
Product: small nucleolar RNA SNORA15
Source: Ensembl